Molecule: long non-coding RNA, 1659 nt
Organism: Oncorhynchus tshawytscha (Chinook salmon)
Lineage: Eukaryota; Metazoa; Chordata; Actinopteri; Salmoniformes; Salmonidae
Source: Ensembl
UAACUAGAUAACUAGAUAACUAGAUAACUAGAUAACUAGAUAACUAAUAACUAGAUAACUAGAUAACUAGAUAACUAGAUAACUAGAUAACUAGAUAACUAGAUAAGGAACUCGUUUUCUUUGUUUGGUUUGUUGGUUUGUUAUGGAGACUUCCUUUAUUAGAUGUAUUUAUUUAUUUCAUAUUUAUUUUCCCAAUGGUGAAUACGCUGUGUAUAAGUUGAUAAGGUGUGGAUCAUGACUGUCUCGUUUAGAAGCAGUCCUCUGAUAUGAAGAUGUCUGUGUCACGAAUGGCAUCCUAUUCCCUAUGCAGAACCCAUAGGGGCCCUGGUCUUAAGUAGUUCACUACAUAGGGAAUAGGGUCCUGGUCUUAAGUAGUUCACUACCUAGGGAAUAGGGCCCUGGUUCACUAUAUAGGGAAUAGGGCUCUGGUCACUAGUAGUUCACUAUAUAGGGAAUAGGGCUCUGGUCACUAGUAGUUCACUAUAUAGGGAAUAGGGCUCUGGUCACUAGUAGUUCACUAUAUAGGGAAUAGGGCUCUGGUCACUAGUAGUUCACUAUAUAGGGAAUAGGGCUCUUGUCACUAGUAGUUCACUAUAUAGGGAAUAGGGCUCUGGUCACUAGUAGUUCACUAUAUAGGGAAUAGGGCUCUGGUCACUAGUAGUUCACUACAUAGGGAAUAGGGCUCUGGUCACUAGUAGUUCACUACAUAGGAAUUAGGGCUCUGGUCUUAAGUAGUUCACUACAUAGAGAAUAGGGAGCCAUUUGUGCAGCAGACCCGAGGUUGGUACGAGAGCUUCUCGGAUGGUUCUUUGUUUGAUUUAUCAAUGUGAUUAUUGAUUACUUAUCGGCCCUUGAGAGUGUGGGACCGGGUGUUAGUGGUUGUGUGUGUGUGUGUGUGUGUGUGUGUGUGUGUGUGUGUGUGUGUGUGUGUGUGUGUGUGUGUGUGUGUGUGUGUGUGUGUGUGUGUGUGUGUGUGUGUGUGUGUGUGUGUGAAUGUGACGACAUGAGCAGAGAAAAAUGAACUUUAUUUCACAACAACCACGUUGCCCUCCUCGCUGUCAGAAGGGGGCACACCUCCACGCUUUGGGCACAAGGACACAGGAAAUGGUAUGUUUAGCCAAUGGGAAAGGCCCAUCUAGGCACAAUACAGUAUUUGUAGCCAAUCAGACAGCCCCAUGCAGGCUGGGUUCUGUAUGUCUAGCCAAUGGGAAAGGCCCGUGUAGAAAGUAUAUGAGGGCAGGUACGGGACAGAGACACACCUGACCUAGAGGUGUGGUCGAGCAGGUUGACAGUAUGUGUACACAGUAUCACUCACCGCUCAGAGCGUUUAGCUACUGUAUGUAUCUACCACAUGUCAUGUAUGUACUUCACUGAUGUCACUGGUUACUGUGAGAGUGACGUUUAAAAAUGAUUUAAAAAAACAAAAACUAAAAAGUGAUACAAAUGCAAAACUAGUGGAAGUUCACUGUGACUGGGUCGGUCCGGCUUUUAAUUUAACCAAUCAGCAUUCUGUUUCCGCGGUGACGGCAUUUAUAUACAUAUGUGAUAUUAUACAUAUAUAAAUAUUUACGAGGGCAUGUAUUAGUUUUAUUCAAAUGGUAUAAUAAUCAAAUGCUGCAGUGUGUUUAUGGCUGAUAGAGAAUUAAAAUGUACAAGUCA